GGGUGAUUAGCUCAGCUGGGAGAGCACCUGACUUUUAAUCAAUUGGUCGCAGGUUCGAAUCCUGCACGACCCACCA
This 76-nucleotide transfer RNA is filed under the name Salmonella enterica subsp. enterica serovar Typhi. RNAcentral describes it as "tRNA-Lys(ttt)". It matches the Rfam family "tRNA". Rfam says of the family: Transfer RNA (tRNA) molecules are approximately 80 nucleotides in length. Their secondary structure includes four short double-helical elements and three loops (D, anti-codon, and T loops). The record is from RNAcentral. Lineage: Bacteria; Pseudomonadati; Pseudomonadota; Gammaproteobacteria; Enterobacterales; Enterobacteriaceae. RNAcentral also lists the same sequence under 1 other name.